Molecule: non-coding RNA, 25 nt
Filed under: Drosophila melanogaster (fruit fly)
Lineage: Eukaryota; Metazoa; Arthropoda; Insecta; Diptera; Drosophilidae
Source: RNAcentral
UCCAACUGAAAGAGUACGAAUGAUC